UGUAGCUCAGUGGUAGAGUGCAUGUUUAGCAUGCAUGUGACCCUGGGUUUGAUACACAGCA
This 61-nucleotide transfer RNA is filed under the name Cavia porcellus (domestic guinea pig). It matches the Rfam family "tRNA", at positions 6 to 65 of the family's 71-position model. Rfam says of the family: Transfer RNA (tRNA) molecules are approximately 80 nucleotides in length. Their secondary structure includes four short double-helical elements and three loops (D, anti-codon, and T loops). Further hydrogen bonds mediate the characteristic L-shaped molecular structure. tRNAs have two regions of fundamental functional importance: the anti-codon, which is responsible for specific mRNA codon recognition, and the 3' end, to which the tRNAs corresponding amino acid is attached (by aminoacyl-tRNA synthetases). tRNAs cope with the degeneracy of the genetic code in two manners: having more than one tRNA (with a specific anti-codon) for a particular amino acid; and 'wobble' base-pairing, i.e. permitting non-standard base-pairing at the 3rd anti-codon position. The record is from Rfam by way of RNAcentral. Lineage: Eukaryota; Metazoa; Chordata; Mammalia; Rodentia; Caviidae.